RNAcentral lists this ribosomal RNA (498 nucleotides) under uncultured bacterium. Its description in RNAcentral is "bacterial SSU rRNA". It matches the Rfam family "Bacterial small subunit ribosomal RNA", at positions 32 to 516 of the family's 1533-position model. The record is from RNAcentral.
AAUCAACGCUGGCGACGUGCCUCAGACAUGCAAGUCGAACGAUUAAAGCUCUCUUCGGAGAGUGUAUAGAGUGGCGCACGGGUGAGUAACACGUAAGUAAUCUACCUUUGAGUGGGGAAUAACGUCCGGAAACGGACGCUAAUACCGCAUAAUGCAGCGGCAUCGCAAGAUGACAGUUGUUAAAGAUUUAUCGCUUGAAGAGGAGCUUGCGGCAGAUUAGCUAGUUGGUAAGGUAAUGGCUUACCAAGGCUACGAUCUGUAACCGGUCUAAGAGGACGGUCGGUCACACUGACACUGAAUAACGGGUCAGACUCCUACGGGAGGCAGCAGUAAGGAAUAUUCCCCAAUGGGCGAAAGCCUGAGGGAGCGACGCCGCGUGCGGGAGGAAGCCUUUCGGGGUGUAAACCGCUUUUGUGGGGAGUGACAUGGGCUGUAUGAAAGUGCAGCCAUACGACAGUACCCGCAGAAUAAGCCUCGGCUAACUACGUGCCAGCCGCC